GGUCUCAUAGCUCAGUUGGUCAGAGCGUUCGCACCACUAUCUAUCCGUGAAUGGGCUUGCCUUACAAGCAAGCAAACAUUCCGUGAUACGUUGGUCUAUGCGAAGGUCGAGAGUUCAAGCCUCUCUGGGACCA
Non-coding RNA from Astrocystis sublimbata, 133 nucleotides. NCBI's taxonomy places the organism in Eukaryota, Fungi, Ascomycota, Sordariomycetes, Xylariales, Xylariaceae. The record is from the annotation of a GenBank genome assembly.